CAUGCACCAGUGUGGUCCCUCAGCCUGGCCUGUGGAAUUGGGCUGAAACUGGCUCUCCGACAGCCCCUGAGGGGUCCUGGAUCGUGAGAGGGUGCAGGCCAGGCUGAGGGACCCCACUGGUGCACA
Molecule: microRNA precursor, 126 nt
Filed under: Myotis lucifugus (little brown bat)
Lineage: Eukaryota; Metazoa; Chordata; Mammalia; Chiroptera; Vespertilionidae
Description: mir-9193 microRNA precursor family
Rfam family: mir-9193 microRNA precursor family
Source: Rfam by way of RNAcentral